This 252-nucleotide ribosomal RNA is filed under the name uncultured bacterium. Its description in RNAcentral is "partial 16S ribosomal RNA". It matches the Rfam family "Bacterial small subunit ribosomal RNA", at positions 524 to 776 of the family's 1533-position model. The record is from RNAcentral.
UACGUAGGUCCCGAGCGUUGUCCGGAUUUAUUGGGCGUAAAGCGAGCGCAGGUGGUUUAUUAAGUCUGGUGUAAAAGGCAGUGGCUCAACCAUUGUAUGCAUUGGAAACUGGUAGACUUGAGUGCAGGAGAGGAGAGUGGAAUUCCAUGUGUAGCGGUGAAAUGCGUAGAUGUAUGGAGGAACACCGGUGGCGAAAGCGGCUCUCUGGCCUGUAACUGGCACUGAGGCUCGAAAGCGUGGGGAGCAAACAGG